Molecule: unclassified non-coding RNA, 240 nt
Filed under: soil metagenome
Description: partial contains 5.8S ribosomal RNA, internal transcribed spacer 2, and large subunit ribosomal RNA
Source: RNAcentral
AACGCACGAGACCUGCGGACCUGCGGAGGGAUCAUUACAAGAGUGUGGCCCCCAUUGUAAAAAUUGGGGGGUACCUCCCGUCCUUUGCUGGCCCUUUUUUAGGGGCUUUUUUUUAAGACAUUCUGCUUCGGCGGGGUUACACCCGCCGGAACACCCUCAAAAAUUCUUUGUACAAAACCGUUCAGUCCGAGGAAAAAAAUAAAUAAAAAAAAAACUUUUAACAAUGGAUCUCUAGAUCGG